AUUGAACGCUGGCGGCAGGCCUAACACAUGCAAGUCGAGCGGAUGAAGGGAGCUUGCUCCUGGAUUCAGCGGCGGACGGGUGAGUAAUGCCUAGGAAUCUGCCUGGUAGUGGGGGAUAACGUCCGGAAACGGGCGCUAAUACCGCAUACGUCCAGAGGGAGAAAGUGGGGGAUCUUCGGACCUCACGCUAUCAGAUGAGCCUAGGUCGGAUUAGCUAGUUGGUGGGGUAAAGGCCUACCAAGGCGACGAUCCGUAACUGGUCUGAGAGGAUGAUCAGUCACACUGGAACUGAGACACGGUCCAGACUCCUACGGGAGGCAGCAGUGGGGAAUAUUGGGCAAUGGGCGAAAGCCUGAUCCAGCCAUGCCGCGUGUGUGAAGAAGGUCUUCGGAUUGUAAAGCACUUUAAGUUGGGAGGAAGAGAAGUAAGUUAAUACCUGGCUGUUUUGACGUUACCAACAGAAUAAGCACCGGCUAACUUCGUG
This 484-nucleotide ribosomal RNA is filed under the name uncultured bacterium. Its description in RNAcentral is "partial 16S ribosomal RNA". It matches the Rfam family "Bacterial small subunit ribosomal RNA", at positions 30 to 507 of the family's 1533-position model. The record is from RNAcentral.